AGAGUUUGAUCCUGGCUCAGGACGAACGCUGGCGGCGUGCCUAACACAUGCAAGUCGAGCGGAGACAGUGAGUAGCUUGCUAUGAGCUGUUUUAGCGGCGGACGGGUGAGUAACGCGUGAGCAACCUUUCCCAGACAGGGGAAUAACACACCGAAAGGUGUACUAAUACCGCAUAAGACCGACGGGAUCACAUGGUUCGUAGGGGUAAAAGUAUUUAUCGGGUUUGGGGUGGGCUCGCGUCCGAUUAGGUAGUUGGUGAGGUAACCGG
Molecule: ribosomal RNA, 268 nt
Filed under: uncultured bacterium
Lineage: Bacteria
Description: partial 16S ribosomal RNA
Rfam family: Bacterial small subunit ribosomal RNA
Source: RNAcentral